CCCCUGAUAGCUCAGUGGUAGAGCACUCGACUGUAAAUCGAGUUGUCACAGGUUCGAGCCCUGUUCGGCAAG
RNAcentral lists this transfer RNA (72 nucleotides) under Caenorhabditis brenneri. RNAcentral describes it as "tRNA CBN27375". It matches the Rfam family "tRNA". Rfam says of the family: Transfer RNA (tRNA) molecules are approximately 80 nucleotides in length. The record is from RNAcentral. Lineage: Eukaryota; Metazoa; Nematoda; Chromadorea; Rhabditida; Rhabditidae.